CCGCAGAUGCAGCCUGUGCCGCUCCCGCCUCCGGCCCUCAGAAGACCGCUCGUUUCGCCGCCGGAGCCGCGACUGCCCCCAGGCCGCCUCCUCCGCCCGGCCGUGGUUAGACCAGGCGGGCUGCGCGCGCAGUGCGGAGGGUCCCGUUUCCCAACGAUCAGGCUAGAACGCGGCCCGGAACGCAGCCUCAGGCGGCUCCGGAGGCAGCCCGGGGUCCUGAUUAACGCGAGCGCAGCCCGGCAGUGGCGCGGGCAGCAUGUCAGGGUCCUGAGUCGGACUCGGCGCGCUGCCUGGCGCGACUCGCUCUUCGGGUGCGCCGCCCCAAGUUGUUUCUUCGCCGCUGGAGAGCGAGAGCCGGCUCCUGGGUCACCCAGACUGUGUGCCAUCCGGAAGCCAGCAGAGCUGGGGCCAUAGUGCUUGACUGACAGGGGCUGAGGAUGAAUACGGCGGCCAGAAAGCCUAGCUCUGCCUCCUGUUGUUAAUGGAGAUUUUCUCUGGAAUACAGGCAGAAUGCCGAUACCAUGCUGACGGAUAACGCGAAAGCCUACCUAGCACUGGGAUUAAAGAUGUGAGCCACCAUGCCAGGCUGCUGAUUAUAA
RNAcentral lists this long non-coding RNA (599 nucleotides) under Mus caroli (Ryukyu mouse). RNAcentral's name for it is "lncRNA (MGP_CAROLIEiJ_G0003727.1)". Lineage: Eukaryota; Metazoa; Chordata; Mammalia; Rodentia; Muridae. The record is from RNAcentral.